GUGAACGCUGGCGGUAGGCCUAACACAUGCAAGUCGAACGGCAGCACAGUAAGAGCUUGCUCUUACGGGUGGCGAGUGGCGGACGGGUGAGGAAUACAUCGGAAUCUACUUUUUCGUGGGGGAUAACGUAGGGAAACUUACGCUAAUACCGCAUACGACCUACGGGUGAAAGCAGGGGAUCUUCGGACCUUGCGCGAUUGAAUGAGCCGAUGUCGGAUUAGCUAGUUGGCGGGGUAAAGGCCCACCAAGGCGACGAUCCGUAGCUGGUCUGAGAGGAUGAUCAGCCACACUGGAACUGAGACACGGUCCAGACUCCUACGGGAGGCAGCAGUGGGGAAUAUUGGACAAUGGGCGCAAGCCUGAUCCAGCCAUACCGCGUGGGUGAAGAAGGCUUUCGGGUUGUAAAGCCCUUUUGUUGGGAAAGAAAAGCAGCAGGUUAAUACCCCGCUGUUCUGACGGUACCCAAAGAAUAAGCACCGGCUAACUUCGUG
RNAcentral lists this ribosomal RNA (491 nucleotides) under uncultured bacterium. RNAcentral describes it as "partial 16S ribosomal RNA". It matches the Rfam family "Bacterial small subunit ribosomal RNA", at positions 29 to 507 of the family's 1533-position model. The record is from RNAcentral.